Ipomoea nil (Japanese morning glory) is the source of this 1178-nucleotide long non-coding RNA. RefSeq lists it as uncharacterized. The record is from RefSeq and is a predicted model, not a curated record. NCBI's taxonomy places the organism in Eukaryota, Viridiplantae, Streptophyta, Magnoliopsida, Solanales, Convolvulaceae. The transcript has 2 exons.
GCUGUUAAGUUUAAGUAUAUAACUGGAAUGACAUGCUAUCAUACACUUUGAACUCUUUUCAAGAUGCCAUUUGGUUAUCCUGUCUUUUCUUAAUAUUUGCUCUUAACAAAACUCUUCAUUUUUGCUGUUUCUGUGUUCUGGUUGGGUUGGGCUUGUCCCAUUGGAUUCAAUACCCAAUGUACUGAAAGCUUUGAAACUGUCUUUGACUGAUUUUGCCGUGGUUCACAAGAUUGUUUAUGAUGUUACUUUUCACAUUCCUUCCCACAUUGCCAGGAUUUUCUCCUUCUUUUUGUUGUUUUUAUUAUUUUUUAGAGGAAAUGUUACUUUUAGGCUCCAGGUUAAACUGGUGGUAUAGACUCAAGCCCUCAAUAGUUGUAGGCCCCAAUUUUGGUCCCCAAGUUGCCCGCGAAGUGGCAAAACUCGUCCCUCAUUGAUGGAAUUGCUUAUGAACAUUAAAAGAUGAAGACAAAAGGGUUUCCUUCUAGUUCAGUGAAGUUUCCAGUUACCUUGGUUGAGCCACCUGAACCUCUUCUCCAACAAAUUCACAGCCCCAAUCCCUUCACUGCUAAGAAGUUAACCUCUUUGAGUAUGCUUGCAAAAGAAAGGGUUCAAUUAAUAUAAAUGUUUCAAAUAAUCACCUCAAUGAGUCAAUUCCUGUUACACUUAUCAAGUUCCCAGUGUCAUCUUCUGCCUUAAACAUUGGUCUACGCAAUGGCUCAUUGCCACUAUGCAACCCAUUUUUCCCUUCUCCCCACCUCCUCUAUCAGCCUAGCCCCAAAUCACCCCACACCAUAAAAAGUCCAAGAAGCUCUCUAAAACCACCAUUGUUGAAAUCAUAUUUGCCUUUGUACUUACCCUCAACCUUAUAUUGCUCAUUCUCCUCUUCAUUUGCCCAAUGAGAAAGUGAAGAAAACCAAAACCUAAGACACAGAAGCUAUCGACAAUCAAGAGGGCUGCUAUAGCCGGGGCGACUAGAGAGACCGAAUGUCCUUGUCGAGUUUUCUUGAAAAUUCUUCAUUUGAAAGAAAGAAAAAGAAAACAGAGGAGAGAGAAGGGUUAUUACUUGUUUGGUUGUUAGCUCAUAAUUUUUUGAGUCACCUUGUUUGAGAUUGAUUUUCCAGAUUUUAUUUUUCAUGCUAUAUUGCUAUUAUACAUUUGGGUCCUAGAAUUAGUGGCUA